AUUGAACGCUGGCGGCAGGCCUAACACAUGCAAGUCGUGCGCGCGUCGGACGGGUGAGUGAUGUCUGUGAGACUCCCUGUUGUGGGGGGGUAAAUACACUAAACGGUAUCUAUUACCCCAUAUCAUACGAUGUGUCCAGAUGGGAUUAUCUAGUAGGUGGGGUAACGGCUCACCAAGGCGACGAUCCCUAGCUGGUCUGAGAGGAUGACCAGACAAACUGGAACUGAGACACGGUCCAGACUCCUACGGGAGGCAGCAGUGGGGAAUAUUGCACAAUGGGCGCAAGCCUGAGGCAGCCAUGCCGCGUGUGUGAAGAAGGCCGUCGGGUUGUAAAGCACUUUCAGCGGGGAGGCGUUACCCGAAGAAGAAGCACCGGCUAACUCCGUGCCAGCCGCCGCGGUAAUAC
This 406-nucleotide ribosomal RNA is filed under the name uncultured bacterium. Its description in RNAcentral is "partial 16S ribosomal RNA". It matches the Rfam family "Bacterial small subunit ribosomal RNA", at positions 30 to 526 of the family's 1533-position model. The record is from RNAcentral.